GAAAUGCGAUAAGUAGUGUGAAUUGCAGAAUUCAGUGAAUCAUCGAAUCUUUGAACGCACAUUGCGCCCUUUGGUAGCCCAAAGGGCAUAUCUGUUCGAGUGUCAUUUACCUCUUCAAGCUCUGCUUGGUGUUGGGUGCUUGCCUUGCUAGGCUCACCUUAAAGAGAUGAGUGCUUGCGAAGCCCGUAAGUAGCGGAGUAGAAUCUGCUUCCUGGGGGCUGUUCGGGGCACUGUAAACCUAUUUUCACCUUUUGACCUCGGAUCAGAUAGGGAUACCCGCUGAACUUAA
Molecule: unclassified non-coding RNA, 289 nt
Filed under: uncultured Pseudocercospora
Lineage: Eukaryota; Fungi; Ascomycota; Dothideomycetes; Mycosphaerellales; Mycosphaerellaceae
Description: sequence contains ITS1
Rfam family: 5.8S ribosomal RNA (bases 1-105)
Source: RNAcentral